CAGUAGCCGCGGUAAUACAGAGGGUGCGAGCGUUAAUCGGAUUUACUGGGCGUAAAGCGUGCGUAGGCGGCUUUUUAAGUCGGAUGUGAAAUCACUGAGCUUAACUUAGGAAUUGCAUUCGAUACUGGGAAGCUAGAGUAUGGGAGAGGAUGGUAGAAUUCCAGGUGUAGCGGUGAAAUGCGUAGAGAUCUGGAGGAAUACCGAUGGCGAAGGCAGCCAUCUGGCCUAAUACUGACGCUGAGGUACGAAAGCAUGGGGAGCAAACAGGAUUAGAUACCCGUGUAGUCCCUGUCUCUUAUAC
This 301-nucleotide ribosomal RNA is filed under the name uncultured bacterium. RNAcentral's name for it is "partial 16S ribosomal RNA". It matches the Rfam family "Bacterial small subunit ribosomal RNA", at positions 509 to 807 of the family's 1533-position model. The record is from RNAcentral.